UUCCGUAGGUGAACCUGCGGAAGGAUCAUUCACACGCAUCCAACUUGAAUUCAUUGUGAACCAUCUUCUGUGAGUUGUGCUCUUGGCUGGAGACAACUUGUCUACAACCUUGUGCAGAAUCUCGCGGGUAGUUCGGGUGAUAUUGGACCGUCUUCCUCUAUUGUCUGGCUACCAUUGUUGUCUGACCAAUGUCUUGCAUGAUGACCUAUCUUUUUAAGAUGUGGGUGACCACAUGUUUGAUUCACAUACAACUUUCAGCGACGGAUGUCUCGGCUCGAACAACGAUGAAGGGCGCAGCGAAGUGUGAUAAGCAUUGUGAAUUGCAGAAUUCCGUGAACCAAUAGGGAUUUGAACGUAUACUGCGCUUUCGGGAUAUCCCUGAAAGCAUGCCUGCUUCAGUGUCAAUAUUCUUUCAUGCCACUGUCAUCUUGUCAUGUGCUUUGCACAUGCAACUGACAGCAGUGUGUGUCUGUGCAUUAAGGUGCUCUUCCUGCCCCUGAUGCAUUGAGUCCAUGGGUUCUGUGCUCUGUCAGCAACUUGAUAAACACCUUGUGCUUUGUGUGUAACCUGUUGCUUUGUCUGUUGCACUGAUAACCUGUCCUCCUGUCUGCCACUUCAUUUGUGGCUUCUUUCCAUGACAUGAAGUUAGGUAAGCAAACCCGCUGAAUUUAAGCAUAUCAA
Molecule: ribosomal RNA, 681 nt
Filed under: uncultured eukaryote
Lineage: Eukaryota
Description: eukaryotic LSU rRNA
Rfam family: 5.8S ribosomal RNA (bases 250-404)
Source: RNAcentral